Molecule: transfer-messenger RNA, 386 nt
Filed under: Helicobacter pylori
Lineage: Bacteria; Pseudomonadati; Campylobacterota; Epsilonproteobacteria; Campylobacterales; Helicobacteraceae
Description: Standard tmRNA
Rfam family: transfer-messenger RNA
About the family: Bacterial tmRNA, also known as 10Sa RNA or SsrA, is named for its dual tRNA and mRNA-like properties.
Source: RNAcentral
GGGGCUGACUUGGAUUUCGACAGAUUUCUUGUCGCACAGAUAGCAUGCCAAGUGCUGCUUGUAAAACAGCAACAAAAAUAACUGUAAACAACACAGAUUACGCUCCAGCUUACGCUAAAGCUGCGUGAGUUAAUCUCCUUUUGGAGCUGGACUGAUUAGGAUUUCUAGCGUUUUAAUCACUCCAUAACCUUAAGCUAGACGCUUUUAAAAGGUGGUUCGCCUUUUAAACUAAGAAACAAGAACUCUUGAAACUGCCUCAAGGUUUUAGAAAGUUGGACCAGAGCUAGUUUUAAGGCUAAAAAACUAACCAAUUUUCUAAGCAUUGUAGAAGUUUGUGUUUAGGACAAGAUUUUUGGACUGGGGUUCGAUUCCCCACAGCUCCACCA